Long non-coding RNA from Dreissena polymorpha, 729 nucleotides. RefSeq lists it as uncharacterized. NCBI's taxonomy places the organism in Eukaryota, Metazoa, Mollusca, Bivalvia, Myida, Dreissenidae. The transcript is spliced from 4 exons. The record is from RefSeq and is a predicted model, not a curated record.
AUGGCGCCUUACAAUAUAAAGUGUUUCUUUAUUUCUGUUCCUUAAGCCUUAGAAAUUGCCUGUAACUAAGUUAGUUAUAAGUGUAAACUAUUAACUGAUAACUAGGAAAGUGGACAGAAUAAAGUCGAGUGCGCCCGCUAAUAAAAUAUUAUCCAAUCGAGUUCAAGCAAGAUUCUUGGAACAAAUCAACAAUGUCUGCGCACGAUGGUCCUCUAGAAAUGCUGCAUAUAACAGCAUUCUUCUGAAAAAAAAGUGUCUCACAGUUGAUGCAGAAUGGGGAAAACAUUAUUCAAGAAAUAUUACAGGAAAUAUCAGAAAGCCUUCCGUUCGUCCUUGACCUGUUCUGCACAAUGGCAAUAGCUGGGAAAAACCCAUCAGCCAUUAAGAUUGCCCCGAUUGUUGCUGCCUAGUAUGCCAUCCUCAUGAAUGCCAGGAAUGAGAAGUUGUCAGCGUGGCACAGACUCACAACAGUUGUAUCCAUCAAAGGGCACUUGGAUGACUCGGCACUAACACUUUUCAACCGCAUGGGGCUGACAAUGUUGACAUCAUCCAAACUGCGCCUUUUGGAUGAAGCUGGUGAAAUGCUGGAAGACAACAUCGCCAGAAGUCUAAGAAAACCCACUUGUCAAAAUCACGGGUGACAAUUUGGACAUCUAUGUCAGAACAGGACAUCAUUCACUGGACAGACACAAAAAGGACCUCCACAUGUUUGCCUCAAAUAUCAUCUUC